CACUAGCUGGUUUAGUUUGCUCUAUAUACUAAGGGCCGUCUGAAUUGCAAAUCUAAAUCAGUUUAUUCGGGUAAAUGACUGUCUUGUGCAUCAGGAUGCACAAGUGUUGCGAUAUGUUCUUAUAUGUUGAGCUGCCAAGUAACAUAGCAGGAUGUUUGACCAUCACUGAACAACUGGCAGGGACAUGGGUUGGAGUAACAUUGCUUAGAUUACAACUGUGUUCAUGUGAUAUCACUUCAUGUGAAGGCACAAUAAUUUGCACUCCAUCACAUCUCAACUGUGUGUGGAAAACACCCAUUUCUGCAAUAAAAUAGUAAUGAUCAA
RNAcentral lists this long non-coding RNA (324 nucleotides) under Dermacentor andersoni. Its description in RNAcentral is "uncharacterized LOC126528300". The record is from RNAcentral. Lineage: Eukaryota; Metazoa; Arthropoda; Arachnida; Ixodida; Ixodidae.